GACGAACGCUGGCGGCGUGCCUAAUACAUGCAAGUCGAACGAACUCUGGUAUUGAUUGGUGCUUGCAUCAUGAUUUACAUUUGAGUGAGUGGCGAACUGGUGAGUAACACGUGGGAAACCUGCCCAGAAGCGGGGGAUAACACCUGGAAACAGAUGCUAAUACCGCAUAACAACUUGGACCGCAUGGUCCGAGUUUGAAAGAUGGCUUCGGCUAUCACUUUUGGAUGGUCCCGCGGCGUAUUAGCUAGAUGGUGGGGUAACGGCUCACCAUGGCAAUGAUACGUAGCCGACCUGAGAGGGUAAUCGGCCACAUUGGGACUGAGACACGGCCCAAACUCCUACGGGAGGCAGCAGUAGGGAAUCUUCCACAAUGGACGAAAGUCUGAUGGAGCAACGCCGCGUGAGUGAAGAAGGGUUUCGGCUCGUAAAACUCUGUUGUUAAAGAAGAACAUAUCUGAGAGUAACUGUUCAAGUAUUGACGGUAUUUAACCAGAAAGCCACGGCUAACUACGUGCCAGCAGCCGCGGUAAUACGUAGGUGGCAAGCGUUGUCCGGAUUUAUUGGGCGUAAAGCGAGCGCAGGCGGUUUUUUAAGUCUGAUGUGAAAGCCUUCGGCUCAACCGAAGAAGUGCAUCGGAAACUGGGAAACUUGAGUGCAGAAGAGGACAGUGGAACUCCAUGUGUAGCGGUGAAAUGCGUAGAUAUAUGGAAGAACACCAGUGGCGAAGGCGGCUGUCUGGUCUGUAACUGACGCUGAGGCUCGAAAGUAUGGGUAGCAAACAGGAUUAGAUACCCUGGUAGUCCAUACCGUAAACGAUGAAUGCUAAGUGUUGGAGGGUUUCCGCCCUUCAGUGCUGCAGCUAACGCAUUAAGCAUUCCGCCUGGGGAGUACGGCCGCAAGGCUGAAACUCAAAGGAAUUGACGGGGGCCCGCACAAGCGGUGGAGCAUGUGGUUUAAUUCGAAGCUACGCGAAGAACCUUACCAGGUCUUGACAUACUAUGCAAAUCUAAGAGAUUAGACGUUCCCUUCGGGGACAUGGAUACAGGUGGUGCAUGGUUGUCGUCAGCUCGUGUCGUGAGAUGUUGGGUUAAGUCCCGCAACGAGCGCAACCCUUAUUAUCAGUUGCCAGCAUUAAGUUGGGCACUCUGGUGAGACUGCCGGUGACAAACCGGAGGAAGGUGGGGAUGACGUCAAAUCAUCAUGCCCCUUAUGACCUGGGCUACACACGUGCUACAAUGGAUGGUACAACGAGUUGCGAACUCGCGAGAGUAAGCUAAUCUCUUAAAGCCAUUCUCAGUUCGGAUUGUAGGCUGCAACUCGCCUACAUGAAGUCGGAAUCGCUAGUAAUCGCGGAUCAGCAUGCCGCGGUGAAUACGUUCCCGGGCCUUGUACACACCGCCCGUCACACCAUGAGAGUUUGUAACACCCAAAGUCGGUGGGGUAACCUUUUAGGAACCAGCCGCCUAAGGUGGGACAGAUGAUUAGGGUG
RNAcentral lists this ribosomal RNA (1489 nucleotides) under Lactiplantibacillus pentosus. RNAcentral's name for it is "bacterial SSU rRNA". It matches the Rfam family "Bacterial small subunit ribosomal RNA". The record is from RNAcentral. Lineage: Bacteria; Bacillati; Bacillota; Bacilli; Lactobacillales; Lactobacillaceae. RNAcentral also lists the same sequence under 1 other name.